This 396-nucleotide ribosomal RNA is filed under the name uncultured Glomeromycotina. RNAcentral's name for it is "SSU rRNA". It matches the Rfam family "Eukaryotic small subunit ribosomal RNA", at positions 569 to 970 of the family's 1831-position model. The record is from RNAcentral. Lineage: Eukaryota; Fungi; Glomeromycota.
AGCAGCCGCGGUAAAUUCCAGCUCCAAUAGCGUAUAUUGAAGUUGUUGCAGUUAAAAAGCUCGUAGUUGAAUUUCGGGAUCAAUAUGUUGCUCGUGCCUUGGUACGUACUAAUUUAUUGGUUUCUUCCUUCUGACGAACCAUGAUGUCAUUAAUUUGGCGUCAUGGAGAAUCAGGACUGUUACUUUGAAAAAAUUAGAGUGUUUAAAGCAGGCUCACGCUUGAAUACAUUAGCAUGGAAUAAUGAAAUAGGACGUUUGAUCCUAUUUUGUUGGUUUCUAGGAUUGACGUAAUGAUUAAUAGGGAUAGUUGGGGGCAUUAGUAUUCAAUUGUCAGAGGUGAAAUUCUUGGAUUUAUUGAAGACUAACUACUGCGAAAGUAUUUGCCAAGGAUGUUUU